Molecule: long non-coding RNA, 3971 nt
Filed under: Brassica napus (rape)
Lineage: Eukaryota; Viridiplantae; Streptophyta; Magnoliopsida; Brassicales; Brassicaceae
Description: long non-coding RNA (BNAP_LNC025315)
Source: RNAcentral
UUUAUCACUGAUUUAUUGAAAUUGUAACAGAAACAGAGUUAUGUGAUCAACACAUACAUCCACUAGUAGGUGGUAUAAAUAAGCUAACGAUAACAUAAAACAAAGCCAAAAAGAAGGUAGGUCUAACCAUCAAAAUGGUUAUUUCAGAUCAACUUCCAUCAUCAUUUCAGCAACCCUGGCUUCUUCAUCCAAAGGUGAUGUAACCAUGAGAUGCAGACAUUCUCAGAUUUGUAAAACUGCAGUAUGAGAUCACGUAUAAUAUUAUCCACGAUUAUCAUAACAACUUGAUUCUUCAUCGGAGAUGAAUGGUCCAGCGACCAGAGAGUAUUCCCACUAUGAAAUUUAAAGAUUUUCCAUAAACAAACCAAGAAUUGAGGAUUCCAACUAUAUCUCAUUAAAAAGCUUCCAAUCUAUUGAAACUAUGAGAACUUAAAACUUUCAUCAAUUCAAAAACAACUACGACCCAAAUUUAGGAUUGUUUACCAUCAGAUUUUCAUACAUCUAUAUCACUAAAACUGAAAUACUUUUUCAAAAUAAUAUUUUCUUCACUUUAAUAUUUAUCAAUUUGUGCCACUAAAUUAAUAAUAAUAAUUAUUAAUUAAUUAAUUAUUUUGUUAGAAUCUUCUCUAUCCAAACUUACCAAUCUUAAUAAAUUUACAGAAAUCAUUUAUUUUAUUAUAUUAUUCUCUAACCAAAAUUACAAUCUCUAACCAAAUUUUACAAGAAAUUAAAAAUAUAUAUUUAAAAUGUGACUAUAAAUUUUAAAUGGUAUAUAUUCAUAUAUAUUAUUAUUUCAUUCCAUAUACAAAAAAUAAAAUAUAAAUAUUUUUGUUAAAACAUAUAAAUUUAUUUUUCAAAUAUAUGGUAAAUAAGUUGAUUACAUAUUAGUAUAAGAAUACAACAAAUAAAUUUCAACUUAAUAUUUUCCUCAAAAAUAAAAAUAAAUGUAUAAUUUAUUUGGCAUAUAAAAACUUAAAGACAUAUCUAUCUAUAUUAGUAAAAGAUAAAUAUGUUUUAUUUUAGUAAGAUAUAUUUAGUAAUAUACAUAAAUAUAAUAAUUGAUGUUUUAAUUUAUAAAUAAAUACAUCAAAAUGGUUACUAUAAUUGAAAAUAUUAAUUGGUAAAUAUGUUAUAUAACAUAUUGAUUGGUUUUAUAUCCAACUGCAAUAUGAGCAAUCAACAAGUUAUAGAUAAAAUAUCGAUCUAUCAUAAAUGAUAUAUAUUAUAAAUCGAAUAAACAUCCAAUUAACACAUGCUUGUACAUUCAUUACAUUGAUUUCAUAAGUCUAAUAUUAUUUUUUAUUUUUUUAUAUUAAACAAAUACCAUGGAUCAAGCUAUAGUACUUGUUAAGAUUGUAUUGGAUACAUAUUAAAUUUAUCAUUUUUGAGUUUUGCAUGUCUACAGACACAAGAUGAUUGUAUAGCAUGUUGGAAGAUUGUACCCAUUUGUACUUGGUUUAAAAGAUAUAGAUUAUUUCCAUAACAUGUUAUUUUCUAUAUGAGCAUCUAGUAGUAUAUAUAAAGUUUAUAUUAUACAAGUUUACUUAAUAACAGAUUACUAUGCAAACAAUAAAAUAAUUCAUAUACCAAGUACAUCUAUGGUUCGCCAUGCAUGUAAUCUGUUAUUUUUAAAUUUAUAUAAUUAUUUAACUCGUUAAAAGCUAAUGUUUCCAUGCAUGGAUAUUAAAUGAAUAUAUUAUUAUAUUCUAAAAUAUUAUUAAAUUCUAAAGUUUUAUUUUGAAAAUGUGUUAGAAUACCUCCAAUGGAGAGAUGUAGAUGGAGUUCUUGUUAUUAAAAAUAAAAAGAAAAUAUUAAAAGGAAAGAAAGAAAACAAGUAAAAGUUUUUAUAGUUGAGAGAUUUUGAGAACUCCAAAAAAUUUUUACUGUCCAUAUGUCUGUCACCUUUGUAUUGGUUGGAUUUUUGAAAACAAAACUGAAAUUUACAUAAGUAAUUAGGUCGUUAACUAAAAAGUCAUAUUUUGAUGUUUCUAGAAACUCUUACCAAUGGGUUCUUUCUUACCGAUGGUUACCCUUAUAGUGUCCACCUUGCAUUUUUAUAUAUCGACUAUCUAUCUAUCUAUAUAUAUAUAUAUAAAGUAUAUAUAUAAAGUACUGUUUCUUCACUCCAGGAUGCGCCACCUCAGCAUCCACGUCAGUAAGUCGUUCAACCUGAACGUAACACCUGUCCACUUUUGCUUAUACGUUGCGUUUCAUUUAAAAAAUUGAAUAGGUAUGGGUUACAUCUUUUACGUGGGCUUUAGGCUAAAACCCAUCCCAAUAGUGAGCGUGUCACAUCUCUACACAGCAAUUCUGAUUCUAAGGAUUGAGUCGAAGAAGUCGGCGCGAUGAAUCUGUUGGUCGAGAUUUUUCUCACGUCGUUCAAUCUUCUUUCUCAUUGACAGAUGCAUCGCCUUAAAGCCCUUCAUAACUCCAUCCACCAUAAUUUAUCAUUUAAUACGAAGUUGUAUACCUGCGACUAUAAAAAAGUUAGACAUCCCACUACAAGAAAACAGCGGUAUUCUGACGGAGGUUCCGACGGAAAAUGAAUUCCUCGGAAUAUACCGAGGCAUUUCCGAGGCAAUUCCGAGGAAACACAAAAUUUUGCUUCCUCGGAAUUCCGUCGGAAUAUUCCGACGGACUUCCGAGGAAAAUUCAUUUCGUCGGAAUAUUCCGACGGAAUACCGAGGAAACUAGUAUUCCUCGGAAAAAACCGAUGAAUUCCGAGGAAAUAUUAUAGACGUUAGAGAGCCGUUGGAGAGCCGUUGGGGGGUUUUAAAAAUUCCGAGGAAAUUCCGACGAACUAGCCGUUUGCAUCGGAAUUCCGUCGGAAUUUCCUCGGUCUGUCGGCAGGAUUUCAACUAUAAAUACAAGCACCCCUCUUCCUCUUCAUUCACACCAUAUCUUCAUCCUCCCUCUCACUUUCUUUACACACGAAUUUGAUUCAUAAAAAACAUGUCUUCUUCAAAUUAUUUUCGUUCUUGGAUCGAUCGACCUCAUUUGGAUCCGAACACGAGAUUGCUUACGGAAGAAUACCAACAAGGUAUAACCGAAUUCAUGGGGUUAGUUCACCGACAACCGGAAGCAAAAACAGGUAUGUUAAGAUGUCCUUGCUCUAAUUGUAAAAAUAGAAAGGUUAUUAAAGAGUGGGAUGUUUGGACUCAUCUAUAUUUGAGUGGGUUUACACGAAGUUACAAAAUUUGGUAUCAUCAUGGAGAAACUGAUUAUGAACAUGGUAGUACUAGCGAACCUCAGCCAGCGGUUAGAUUAGAAGAACCAAUUAGAACGGAUGUAGAUUAUGGUGUAGGUACUGAGCAGAUGGUAAAUGAUCAUUUUAGAGGGGAAGAUUUACCCAAUGCCGAAGCUAAGAGAUUUUAUGAUAUGUUGGAUGCUGGAAAGCAACCAUUGUACGAAGGUUGCAGAGAUGGUCAUUCAGCUUUAUCAUCUGCUACAAGAUUGAUGGGCAUUAAGACGGAUUAUAAUUUGGCUGAAGACUGUGUGGAUGCGAUUGCUGAUUUUGUAAAAGGUAUUCUACCCGAAGAUAAUGUAGCUCCUGGCUCAUACUACGAGGUUCAGAAACUCGUAGCUGGUCUUGGUUUAUCGUAUCAGGUAAUAGAUGUAUGCAGAGACAACUGCAUGAUUUAUUGGAGGGCGGAUGAACAGCGGGUUUCAUGCAAAUUUUGUGGGAAGCCUCGUUAUAAAGAUACGAGUGGAAGAGUUCCAGUACCAUAUAAAAGGAUGUGGUAUUUGCCUUUGACGGAAAGGUUGCAGAGGCUGUAUCUGUCUGAACGCACAGCGCAACCAAUGAGAUGGCAUGCGGAGCACUCAACAGAUGGUGAGAUCCUCCUCUCAAAAUCAGCUUUCUUAAUUUGCAAAGUAAAUUUAAUCUCUGAGAAAUGGCUAAAGUCAAAAGUGCUUCUUACCUUAUUCGUCUCGGCACCUCGACUCCUCGCCAUGGCACCCGCAACUUCUCC